CCUACGGGGGGCUGCAGUGGGGAAUAUUGCACAAUGGGGGAAACCCUGAUGCAGCGACGCCGCGUGAGCGAAGAAGUAAUUCGUUACGUAAAGCUCUAUCAGCAGGGAAGAAAAUGACGGUACGUGAGUAAGAAGCCCCGGCUAACUACGUGCCAGCAGCCGCGGUAAUACGUAGGGGGCAAGCGUUAGCCGGAAUUACUGGGUGGAAAGGGAGCGUAGACGGUUCGCCGAGGCUGGAGUGAAAUGCCGCAGUUUAACUGCGGAACUGCUUUGGAAACUGGAGAACUAGAGUGCGGGAGGGGUAAGCGGAAUUCCUAGUGUAGCGGUGAAAUGCGUAGAUAUUAGGAAGAACACCGGUGGCGAAGGCGGCUUACUGGACCGUAACUGACGUUGAGGCUCGAAAGCGUGGGGAGCAAACAGGAUUAGAUACCCCAGUAGUC
This 440-nucleotide ribosomal RNA is filed under the name uncultured bacterium. Its description in RNAcentral is "partial 16S ribosomal RNA". It matches the Rfam family "Bacterial small subunit ribosomal RNA", at positions 338 to 795 of the family's 1533-position model. The record is from RNAcentral.